UACGUAGGGUGCGAGCGUUGUCCGGAAUUAUUGGGCGUAAAGAGCUCGUAGGCGGUUUGUUGCGUCGGCUGUGAAAUCCCGAGGCUCAACCUCGGGUCUGCAGUCGAUACGAGCAAACUAGAGUGUUGCAGGGGAGACUGGAAUUCCUGGUGUAGCGGUGAAAUGCGCAGAUAUCAGGAGGAACACCGGUGGCGAAGGCGGGUCUCUGGGCAACAACUGACGCUGAGGAGCGAAAGCGUGGGGGAGCGAACAGG
This 254-nucleotide ribosomal RNA is filed under the name uncultured bacterium. RNAcentral describes it as "partial 16S ribosomal RNA". It matches the Rfam family "Bacterial small subunit ribosomal RNA", at positions 524 to 776 of the family's 1533-position model. The record is from RNAcentral.